CACGCUGUAAACGAUGAGAACUAGCCGUUGGGCACGAUUGAGUGUUUGGUGGCGCAGCUAACGCGAUAAGUUCUCCGCCUGGGGAGUACGGCCGCAAGGUUAAAACUCAAAUGAAUUGACGGGGGCCCGCACAAGCGGUGGAGCAUGUGGUUUAAUUCGAUGCAACGCGAAGAACCUUACCUGGUCUUGACAUCUGGGGAACCCUUGAGAGAUUGAGGGGUGCCUUCGGGAGCCCCAAGACAGGUGC
RNAcentral lists this ribosomal RNA (247 nucleotides) under uncultured Methylocaldum sp. Its description in RNAcentral is "partial 16S ribosomal RNA". It matches the Rfam family "Bacterial small subunit ribosomal RNA", at positions 796 to 1041 of the family's 1533-position model. The record is from RNAcentral. Lineage: Bacteria; Pseudomonadati; Pseudomonadota; Gammaproteobacteria; Methylococcales; Methylococcaceae.